CCAUGCCGCGUGCAGGAAGACUGCCCUAUGGGUUGUAAACUGCUUUUAUACAGGAAGAAACCCUCCCUCGUGUAGGGAGCUUGAGGGNACUGGAAGAAUAAGGAUCGGCUAACUCCGUGCCAGCAGCCGCGGUAAUACGGAGGAUCCAAGCGUUAUCCGGAAUCAUUGGGUUUAAAGGGUCCGUAGGUGGAUAAUUAAGUCAGAGGUGAAAUCCUGCAGCUCAACUGUAGAAUUGCCUUUGAAACUGGUUAUCUUGAGUCAUUAUGAAGUGGUUAGAAUGUGUAGUGUAGCGGUGAAAUGNNUAAANAUUACACAGAAUACCGAUUGNNAAGGCAGNNNACUAANNAUNUNCUGGCNCUNAUGGACGAAAGCNNGGGGAGCGAANAGGAUUAAAUACCCUGGUAGUCCACGCCGUAAACGAUGGAUACUCGCUGUUCGAACUUCGGUNGAGUGGCUAAGCGAAAGU
This 466-nucleotide ribosomal RNA is filed under the name uncultured bacterium. Its description in RNAcentral is "partial 16S ribosomal RNA". It matches the Rfam family "Bacterial small subunit ribosomal RNA", at positions 392 to 858 of the family's 1533-position model. The record is from RNAcentral.